CUAACAUCGCAUUUCUUGGUUCGUUGUUAUUAUUAUUAUUUUUUAAUUUGUGAAAUAAUGCCGCGUGUUGUGUUUGAUUGUAGGUGCGUAUCGGAGCUAUUACGGAGGAAGAAGCAAUCGGAUGUGAUGAGGUUCUUGCAGAGGGUCCGGUGCAUGGGGAGUAUCGCCAGCAUCCUUCCAUCGUUCGGGUCACCAGGCCAACCCGACCCGAUAAGGCCCGCCGCCUCGGCUACGAGGGCUAUGUGAUUUAUCGUGUCAAGGUCAGACGUGGAGGUCGAAAGAGGCCAGUUCCCAAGGGAACUGUGUAUAGUAAGCCAAAGAACCAAGGACUCAACCUACAAAUACUUUGAGGUCAUCCUUGUGGAUGCUGCUCACAACGCUAUCCGCAACAAGCCAGGGAUCAACUGGAUAUGCAAGGGUGUGCACAAGCACCGCGAGCUCCGUGGGCUUACUUCUGCUGGCAAGGAGUAUAGAGGUCUUAGAGGAAAAGGUCAUCUUUACCAUAAGAACAGGCCAUCUAGAAGGGCAACUUGGAAGAGGAACCAGGCGAAGUCCCUUCGCCGAUAUCGCUGAGCUUGUUGAAAGGCUUGAGUGUCGAAGUUUUCUUACUUGUGCUUUUGAUAGUUUAUUUGAGUACUAUUUUUUUAAUUUACUACCUUCUAUACGUUUGGUGUUUGAUUGUCAGAAAUUUGAUGCAUUGUUGUGGUUCUAGACUAGUUAUUCUCAAACGCUGUAGCCUCUUGGUACCUGCUUUAACGGACUUGCUCUUCCUAUGGGCCUU
Long non-coding RNA from Asparagus officinalis (garden asparagus), 781 nucleotides. RefSeq lists it as uncharacterized. Lineage: Eukaryota; Viridiplantae; Streptophyta; Magnoliopsida; Asparagales; Asparagaceae. The record is from RefSeq and is a predicted model, not a curated record. The transcript has 3 exons.